This 6464-nucleotide long non-coding RNA is filed under the name Daphnia magna. Its description in RNAcentral is "uncharacterized LOC116921407, transcript variant X5". The record is from RNAcentral. Lineage: Eukaryota; Metazoa; Arthropoda; Branchiopoda; Diplostraca; Daphniidae.
GUACCGUACGAACGGUGGGUGGGAAUGUAAAGACGAAAUAACGGAACGUUAUUGGUUGGCAAGAUAAGCUUGACAAGUUGGCUCGGAUUCAUCUAUGCAGACAGUAACAUUUCCCCGGUCGGCAACAGUAAAUAAAAUAUGUUUCAAGCAAAGGACUGAUCGCUGGUGGCCAGAUCCAGACAUGAUGAAUUGGCGUUAUUACUGGACGAGAUCGUAAUAGAAACCAACAUCCGACAAUUCUCCAGCGCCGCCAACUGGAACUGAAGAGGGAUUCUCUUCAACUGAAUCGGAUGAUUUGACCGAGUAAACAGAAGUGGGACGGUCCUUGAAAGAUUUUCGCGACCGGAUUGGAUUCCGUCCCAAACUAAAUUAACAGAAAUUCGGAUCGAACGUUACAUUUUGGGUCGCCGGAAGACUAUUAUCUUCCUGUUCGGAGCACGUUUCCCAACUGGAAUGUCUUGAAAGAUUCAAUGCGUUCAUCCUGGCCGCUUUAUAUUCACCUUUGCCCUGAGAGAAUGGAGGAUGCGUUCCGUCGAAUGCGGCUGGCUGCUGCACACGUUUAUUCCACGCAUCAUUGUACUUGUAUUGGCUCAUAUCGACUGUGUAUCUUCUGCCGAUUCCAAAGGACGUCUGGCGAGGAUCGUUGACGCUUUGACUGGACGUCUCGCAGAGCGAAAGGUGCUGGCUACUUCCGCUAGCCCGACCCGCGUUUUCUUUCCCAUUUGUAUGUCUCCUCCUCAAUCUCUUCAACAGGUUCAGUUUCGCUAGAUUCCUGAUGGGUAGUUUGCUGCUGUUGGCUUCGUCUGUGGCGAAUCAGAGCUGGCGAUUCCAAACCAUCACCUUUACUUCUUCGGCUUCCGGAGGGAGUAAUGUAACUGUUUUCUGUCAAUGGAUCGUGCCUGUCUUCGAUGAUUGUUUGCGUCCCAGCGUCUACCAGCGCAGCAGAAUUCCGUCGAUUCGAUGAAGAACGGGAAGAGGAAGAUGAAGCGGAAGACCCUGGCCGUGAGCUUUUCGGUUGCGUUGUUGGUGUUAUUGAAGUCUUUUCUGAAACAUGUUCCAGUCGACGGAGGUGUGACUCGCUACGUCGCAUCAUUGUCUGAUGGACAUUAGAUCCACCGACGCUCCACGACCGCCUGUGCAGCGAUUGGGAGUGGGAAAGGACUUUAACGCGGCACGACCGACGUUUGCCGUAGUUGACCAACUGAGGCGUAUCUUGGCAACUCAUGCCGGGCAACGGUCGUAGCACCGUGACGGGCUGACCUGAAUCUUCUUCGACUUCAAGAAAAACUUCAGACCUGGGCCUGAUACCGGUAUCGCCUGUGGUCGAAUAAGAUUUCUUGGCUCCAGCCAAUCGUUCUUGAAUUGGCCUUACCAGGACAUCUAAAGAAAAAGAAUUGAUGAUUUUACUUGGGUCUGUUCUUCGCUUGUUCUUCGAGCAUAGCUUUAAGUGUAGCCACCUCAGCAAAUAGGUUGUUUACACGUUCCAGCUUUUCUUCGUAAAGAGCUCGAAUAUCAUUGACGUGCUUGAUUUCAGCCUCCUGCCUCACGAAAGGAUCGUGAGAUCCAUCGAAACCGGAUUCAGCGAAUUGGUAUCGCGUCUGUUGGUUGCCAUUGUUGUUGUUAUUUGGAUUGUAAUUGUCGUUCAAAGAAUCGCUGGAUGAUGAGAGUGGCGCACGACGGUGAUUCCGGCUGCUGUACGUGCUGGAAGCGGCUGAACCUGUUUUAGCGACGUAGCUGGGCCGUGAACGAACUUCCUUUUUCCAUUCGAGUUGUUGCAUGGCGUAGUGUUCCGGAUCCUGAUUGACGAGAUCGGCCGAAGCGAUCGACAAGUGGAGCAAAAUGGAUGAAAAUGAUGGCCUGUUUCGCGGCUUAGGAUCCCAGCACAUCCGCAUAAGCAAGAGGAAUCCGGCGGGACCUGUUGGUGGAAGAGGCAAGUGAAGUGUGCUGUUACCCACGCCGAAAAUGAUGGCCGCUUGGUCAAUGUCUCGAUAUGGACUCUCACAGAGCACAGUUCUUUGCGUAUGACUUCAGGAGCCAUCCACGCGUAGGUACCGAUGAAGGACAUUUCGACGCUGAUUUGAUUCCAAGUCCGACACGUUCCAAAGUCGCUGAUUUUUACCACAUUGUUAUCAGCGAGUAGGACACUUGAACCGAAUCAGAUAAGAAUUUGCUGUAAAAAUAAGUUUUUAUGCGUUUGGUUACUUACUUUGGACUUUUGAGAUCACGAUGGAUGAUCUUGUUUUGAUGAAGAUAGUGCAUUCCGGAAGCGAUCUGGACAGCCCAAUCGACAGUCAAUCUCGGCGACAACGUAUUGUUAUCACUACGUAGAAAAUUGUACAACGUUCCGUUUGGACAAUAUUCCAUAACCAAACAAUAAGGAGGAGCUCGAGUGCACACGCCCCUAAUAAAGCGAAAGAAUUUUACAAUUCAAACUGACGACACCUUGAGCUCCUGAUGCUAACCAUUCGAGGUCACGCAAUGAUUCGAACGGAAUCUCCCAUUCAUCUUUAAAUUUGAAUUGAAACAGACUGGCCGGAAGCAACCAAAAAUGCCAUCCAACCAUCCAUUCCGCGAUUCCGCCAAAUCAUGAGCUGCUGUUGUCACAACGUCUAGAUGCUGUUGACCGGAUGGCCCGGCUGGUGAGGAGCAAACUUGAGUCUGGAUAGGUGGCGGAAGCGAUGCCGAUGGCAAUGGAUUCGAACCUCCCGCAGGGGGACGAUGUCCCAUCCUUUGGAAAAGCGUCUCAAUCAAGUGACCUUGCUCCGUGCUAACGUCUCGCUACGUAAACUUUUUCGCGGUUAAAAACGAGAGAACUUGGACACGCUCUCUUUCCCUGCUACUGUUAUCUAGGCGUUCCGCGUUACUGGACGAGCCGGAAGUGCCUGCGGUGCUAGCUACUAGUGAGCUACUGCUUCUACAGCCGAAACAAAUCAACAACAGCAUGGUGUGAAGAAAAAAAGACACACACACUCGUUUGCUGUGCACGAUCUACGUGUCAAACGUUACUGGUGACAUCCAACGCACAACGACGACUAGCGACUUUGCUUGCAGUUUGCCGCCGUUAAAAGGGUGCGUUCCCUUUUUUUCGCCAUGUAUUAUGGCAGAUCCUUCCGCCUCUGUUAGUCUAUCGUUUCGACAAAAGGAGCCCCCCCACUCUAUCCCCACCCAAAAUACCGAAAAACAGGUGUGCACAGUGUGUGUGUGUGUGUGGAUGUCAAACUAUGUGAUAGCAGCUGCUAUAUUUGCAUUUGGAUCGGAAUGUUUCUCACGUGACGUCGUCGCACCCGAUUACGACAAUUGUCAACACGCUUAGGGCCCACGUUUCGGACGACGUGGAUGGCCGAUGGAGCGUUACGAGAUUCCAAGAGCGCCGCCGGAGGAGUUAAUUCCGGCGUGACGUUAUUCGAAUUGAGAUCCAUCGCGUGAGCCAUGACGGCUGCUGUUAUUUUCUUCGUUUUCACUCACACGGGGUUUUUCCUUAUUGUUGGUGAAAAGACUGUAUCAUGUUCCACGGUCGACUGGAUGCUGCUUCUGCGAAACAGCGCAGCCGCCAACAAACACGCAGCGUUUUGAAUGGCCGGCGAAGAAGACGGUGGAGGGGGGAGACGGACCGAUCAAUACGAUGCUCGAGCCAGCAGACGGCGCUGACAGCGGCACAACAGAGUAACACACGACUGAACUGGGCAACGUGCAGCAGACUAAUAACGUGCUCGAGGCCGACGCUUUUCCCUCCCCGCACACACGAGCACUUGCUAUCGUGGAAUCAACCGCGUCUACAUACCUCUAGGAAAAGGAGGAGACUUUCUGUCUCCUCCCCCUUUUUCCUCUUUCGCUCGUGGACAGGUAUAUGGAACAACUGAUGCAAUUUGAGCGGAAAAAAAAAGAGGUUCUACGUGAAAAUUUGAUAGAUCGAAAACCGGUUAAAACCAAGGUGAAAAGAAUAGAACACCGGGACACGAUUCACCAAACUGAAUAGGAUCUUUUGGUUUGACCCGGACUUUUUUGUUUUCGUUCGGAAAUACUUGGUAGAUAAAACGAGCAUGUUCCUCUGCUUGCAUACCAGCGCGCAGUCUAUCGUCCUAUUUAUCAAAAUGAAUUUUUUGUCCUUUCAGUAGUGCGUGUGUGCUAUGAUGACGCAAUGGAAACACAUUUAUUUUGAGAGCUCGCCAUUGGUCGGAUUUCAUUAUCCUUUUUGUGUUUCCAAGGUAGAGUAAUAACCAGAGGUGUAUUUGUAAAACGUACGCGAUGGAGGGAGGGUGAGGGAGAAAAUGUUUGUACUAGAGGGUGAAGAUAUUCUCUUUCAAAACAUUAAAAAAAAAAAAAAGAAAAUGAAAAUUUGAAAACGAAACCCCCCAAAUCCGGAUCCAUCCGUCUAGAGGUUAAUGUCCAGCCUCUCUCUUCAUCCUGUCUGCAUUUUCCCCUUAUUCUUCUAACUUGGGGGAAACAAAGAAAAAGGAAUAAAAAGUAAUCCGGGUCGGCGAAAAAGUUUGACAUUGAGAAUGAAAUGUACACACGUUGGUUUCUUUCACUACGUGGCAUGUACCGUCCAAGGAUUUUUACUGGUUAACAAGCAAAUUCACACAUUUCGUUCUAUUUAGAAUAACGAGGGUGGAAAAGAAGAGAUUAUUAUUCUUAUUCAAGGAUGUCUUUUCCCAAUUUUGAGUAGAUACAUUUAAAGAUGUAACUUCGUAAUCAAAUUUCUGGUUCAAACGUAACAGGCGCCAUCAAGGUGAGGAAGCAAACAAAAACCCUUAAAAGACAUUUUACCUGUUGGAAAAGGAGUUUCUUCCAUCCAAAAUAAACAAAAGGUAUGGGUCCUCCCCUUCACCCCCGUCUUUUUCUCUGUCGCUUUUUGCCUCGAGCUGCUUCUAUAGGAAGUGUAUGACUCAUCCAGGUGUUCAACCCACGCCGAGUACGAAGAGAAAAUCUUCCCGUAACCAAUAAACACACGAAUAAUGCGGUCUUGCCACUUCUUGCUAAAAAAAAACACACAGAAUUAACUAUCAAUUUAAUUAUUGUCGAUAAUAUCGAUUAUAUUUAAGGCACAGCAGAAGGAUGUAUUUACAGCGACAAUUCCUGAGAAACGGGAGAAAAUAACAUUUUUUAAAUGAGGCUUCCGAUUCCAAGAAUGACCACUCUGAAAGCUAGCGUUAAAGUUUCCCCUUCACGAAUCACCUGGUAACUGUGGUUUUGCAAAAGGUCCCCCCUCCUGCCCAUACUACGCGCAUUAAAACGUGACCUUCUGUCGUCUGCAGAGUGCCAUUUCAAGGAAAAAAAAAUACAGGCGUGAUGUACUUGUAAGAAAUUGUGCAUCCGGAUUGGUUUUCAGCCAUUUUUCUACGUGAAAUUGUGAACAUCUGUGACCGCUAUAAUAUUUAACCGCAAGACAUCAUCAUAUAUAGCCAGUGGAAGAUAAGCAGGUCAGCCGAAUUAAAAUUAAAGGAGAUACCUGCAUUUAAUAGAAAAGGUCCAGACGCAAGAAAAUGAGGCACGCGAUUUUCCGAUUUUUUGUUUAAUUAGAAAGUUGAGUAAUCCAAAUUUGGUUAGCUUAUUUCUUUCGCGAAACCAACGCCUUUUCGUUACCUGUGCAUUAUUCAUGUCUAGAUCAGAUAUUUGAUCAAUAGUCUUGAUAACAACUAUAACUGUUGUGUUUCAUACACAGUGAUCAGGUGAAUGUGAUGGAUAUACGUUUCAAUGUCCCACAAAAACUAGUAAACAAAAACUUAAUUUACAAUUUUGUUGUUGUUGGUUGUUGCCCUAUUUAUUUUCCUUGUAGAAUAUUAACGCCCAACAUUCAAGGUUCGGUGGUCACGAUGGCACCAUUUUUUUUCUUUUCAAUCUCCUAUUUUUUCGUGUGUCUGCGCAGGGAAUUCAAAGAGAUUAAUGGUUUAAUAAGCCAUUAUAAUAAUCUCUAGAGAUGCUGCCACAUCAGUAUAUUGUACGGACUUUUGAACUUUGAUCACCUCCCACAUCAAAUUGUCUUAUCGCUGUUUAUACCAUAACAUUGGCGAAGGGAAUGGGUUUCUUCAUUGUUAUCUAAAGCCCCUGUUGAUAAACAUCCGACAACAAACAAAUGAUGAAAGAAAAAAAAAAGUCAGUGUUUUCUCGCCCCACGCACAAAAAUUAUCGCAUUAAAAUUGAAAAUGUAAGAGUACCCGUGUUUAUUAUGGCAAACAACUGUCGAAAAUAUUGGCAAUGUAGGAGAAAUUGGCUCGAAUUAUGAUUCACGAAGGGCACUUGUCAAAAAUUAGAAAAUAAAUAAGACAUAAUUGAGGGUUUAACACGGUCAUUUUUGAAAAACGGCGCAAAUUAAUAGAAAUUCGCACUCAAGGAAAAAAAAAAAACCAUUAAAAUAAUAUAAAUAAAUGUAUCCAACGCUUUUACCUUGAGCAACAUCAAGAAAAUCUCUAGCAAGUAAACCGGAAUUUAAAAUGUGAAGAAAAAAAUUUACGUCAACAAUUGAU